GGCCCCGUGGCUCAACUGGAUAGAGCAGCCCCCUCCUAAGGGGCAGGUUGCGUGUUCGAAUCACGCCGGGGUCACCA
This 77-nucleotide transfer RNA is filed under the name Paracoccus sp. (in: a-proteobacteria). RNAcentral describes it as "tRNA-Arg". It matches the Rfam family "tRNA". From Rfam's summary of the family: Transfer RNA (tRNA) molecules are approximately 80 nucleotides in length. Their secondary structure includes four short double-helical elements and three loops (D, anti-codon, and T loops). Further hydrogen bonds mediate the characteristic L-shaped molecular structure. tRNAs have two regions of fundamental functional importance: the anti-codon, which is responsible for specific mRNA codon recognition, and the 3' end, to which the tRNAs corresponding amino acid is attached (by aminoacyl-tRNA synthetases). tRNAs cope with the degeneracy of the genetic code in two manners: having more than one tRNA (with a specific anti-codon) for a particular amino acid; and 'wobble' base-pairing, i.e. permitting non-standard base-pairing at the 3rd anti-codon position. Lineage: Bacteria; Pseudomonadati; Pseudomonadota; Alphaproteobacteria; Rhodobacterales; Paracoccaceae. The record is from RNAcentral.